GAUGAACGCUGGCGGCGUGCCUAAUACAUGCAAGUAGAACGCUGAAGGAAGGAGCUUGCUCUUUCCGGAUGAGUUGCGCACGGGUGAGUAACGCGUAGGUAACCUGCCUGGUAGCGGGGGAUAACUAUUGGAAACGAUAGCUAAUACCGCAUAACAGUAGAUGUUGCAUGACAACUAUUUGAAAGGGGCAAUUGCUCCACUACCAGAUGGACCUGCGUUGUAUUAGCUAGUUGGUGAGGUAACGGCUCACCAAGGCGACGAUACAUAGCCGACCUGAGAGGGUGGGCGGCCACACUGGGACGGUGACACGGCCCAGACGCCUACGGGAGGCAGCAGGAGGGAAUCUUCGGCAAGGGGCGGAAGUCUGAGCGAGCAACGCCGCGUGAGGGAAGAAGGUUGUCGGGUCGUAAAGCUCGGUUGUAAGAGAAGAACGAGUGUGAGAGUGGAAAGUUCACACUGUGACGGUAUCUGACCAGAAAGAGACGGCUAACUACGUG
RNAcentral lists this ribosomal RNA (497 nucleotides) under uncultured bacterium. RNAcentral describes it as "partial 16S ribosomal RNA". It matches the Rfam family "Bacterial small subunit ribosomal RNA", at positions 28 to 507 of the family's 1533-position model. The record is from RNAcentral.